Molecule: long non-coding RNA, 1379 nt
Organism: Acanthaster planci (crown-of-thorns starfish)
Lineage: Eukaryota; Metazoa; Echinodermata; Asteroidea; Valvatida; Acanthasteridae
Source: RefSeq, a predicted model, not a curated record
UCACAGAGCAACUGCACGACACGAGUAAGAGGAAGCAAGCUGAUAAUCCUUUAUUCAUAGUUACAAGUACCAUUCUGUGUCACGGUUGCAGUACAUUCUGGUCCCUAGAAGAGACAACAAUCGUUUCGUGUUUUGCAUCGGAGAAAGAUUCUGCUUGUAUCAAACUUCAGUCUCUGAAAAGACAAGUUUUGUUCAUCAUUCCAGUCAGGAAGCAGUUUGCUGUUUGAUGAUAAACACACCAGCCUUACUGGGCAUUUUUCCCCUAUUCCUUCUGCAACUGAUUGAAGAGAACUGCAUUACACGGUGAAAGCCAGUACAUUCAAAUACACAGAACAGCCGUCGAUCCUGUACAAUAAUGAGGGCGCAGAUGAACUACCUUGUGGAAUGGUCGUCUGAGAGAUUGCCAGAGACGUUAACAAGCAACGGGAGCGAAGGAGAUCAAAGAAGAUGCCGCUCAUUUUAAAGAAGACGACUGCUUUCUUUGCCUUUGAUAAGAAAAAUACAUAUCAUGAGUGUCCACCGAAGCUGAGUUUGUGAUCAAUGUAACUAUGGAUGUAGGAUCCAUAGUUUGAUCGUAAAUCUUUUUUCAUAGGUGUGACGGCACUAUCACCCCAACCAGUAAGCUGGAAAUAUUUUUUUAUGUUAGCAUUGCUUCGAUGUACCCACAGUAUCAAUUGGCAUACUCUACAUAAAACUUUGGAAGCAUCGGCCAAGAUGUCCAAAACGUAACUGAUCAAGCCAGGACCAGUAAUAAAAGAUUAGUCUUUGUUAUCUCAGACAAGUUUGACGGCAAAAAAAUACCCAUAAGGUAUAGCAAGGAACGGAGUAGAGCGAAGAAUAAAGUGGCGGCACCCUGUCUGUACAAUCGUUGGCGAAAAGGCAAUAUCCUUGAUACUGGCGGAGCCAGCGCUUAAAUCAUGUAAGAACAGAAGAGAAUUUCUCUAGUCAUGGAGAAAGGAUCGUGCCGCCUUUUUUGUCUAUAGUCGCAAAGCUUUCUUGAUAAAAACUUAAGCAUGCGACGUCUGGUCGCCACUUAAUUGUUAAAUCUAUUGCGAAUCACAAGAUGUAGGCAGUGACGAACUUUCACUUUGGCCUUUGGCUCAUCCCUCGUCAACGAUCCUCAGGUCAUGGUCCAGUUGUAUCCAGGCUGACCAUGGAGAUGUCCUUUCGCCAUGGGCUGACUGAAAGGCCAUAAUUGAACACGACUUACAGAUGGCUUUAAAUACAGAGAAAGAAAACCUUGCGCAAUGGCUUUGAGAUGUGAAGAUUUGCUGGAGUGUAGACAGAUGAUGAGCCGUUCUGUUCAGUUACUGUCAAUGUCUGACCCCCCCCCCAAAAAAAGGAGGAUCAUUUUUCCCUCCUUCCGAAUAUCAACUGAA